ACAGUCUGAAAAUUACCCCAGGUGUCCUAGUUGCGUGAGGUAAGAUAACUGUGCCAACAGAAAAAUGGUAUAUUAAGCUUAUUGCUUGCUUCUAUAGCAGUGCAAUGAAACCCAUAUGCCCACAGAU
Molecule: small nucleolar RNA, 127 nt
Organism: Conger conger (European conger)
Lineage: Eukaryota; Metazoa; Chordata; Actinopteri; Anguilliformes; Congridae
Product: small nucleolar RNA ACA64
Exons: 1
Source: RefSeq, a predicted model, not a curated record